UACGUAGGUGGCGAGCGUUGUCCGGAUUUACUGGGCGUAAAGAGCGCGCAGGCGGUCGUUCAAGUCGCGUGUGAAAGCCCCCGGCUCAACUGGGGAGGGUCAUUCGAUACUGUUCGACUCGAAGGCAGGAGAGGGAAGUGGAAUUCCGGGUGUAGUGGUGAAAUGCGUAGAUAUCCGGAGGAACACCAGUGGCGAAGGCGACUUUCUGGCCUGUUCUUGACGCUGAGGCGCGAAAGCUAGGGGAGCAAACGGG
RNAcentral lists this ribosomal RNA (253 nucleotides) under uncultured bacterium. RNAcentral's name for it is "partial 16S ribosomal RNA". It matches the Rfam family "Bacterial small subunit ribosomal RNA", at positions 524 to 776 of the family's 1533-position model. The record is from RNAcentral.